RNAcentral lists this long non-coding RNA (518 nucleotides) under Cavia porcellus (domestic guinea pig). RNAcentral's name for it is "lncRNA (ENSCPOG00000039274.1)". The record is from RNAcentral. Lineage: Eukaryota; Metazoa; Chordata; Mammalia; Rodentia; Caviidae.
CUCGGGGGCCGCUGGGAGCGGAAGCGGCUAGAACUCCGGCUCUCGGGACCGAAGGGCUCCUGUGGCAGCCGGGUAAACCCUGAACCCUUCCACGUCCAGUCUUUGAAAAGAAAUUCUAGUUUCCCUCUCCAGGAACUAAAGUGACGGUGAGGUCCAAAACGGCCUGGAGGGUGCAGCCACAGAGAGCCUUAAGUCCAGUGGGCGGGCCUUAUGACUGGCGAGUGGGGGAAUAGGGUCUGUGUUUGUACCGUAAGGUGGGGGCGAGGCUCGCGGAAUAGGCGGGGCUCCCUGACUAGUUGAAAACGAGAUGCUAGGAAGACUUUUACCGUCUCACAACUAUUACCAGAAUAAACCCAUUAACAGCAGAAAGAUGGACCAAUGUGAUAAGCUCAGUAUUUUGUGGGACAAAGAACGCAUUUAUGAUGAGCUGCCACCUAGUGUCAGAAAAUGGGUAAGUGUUAAAACAAAUCACUUUUACUCCUUUAUGAAAUCCUUACUUUCUGCCCCUCAGUUGUUGG